CCCUACUGCUAUCGGGGUGGGACUAAGACAUGCGAGUUGAGCGUCUCUAAGCCAUGGUAGAGACGCAGCGUACGGCUCAGUAACACGUGGCUAACCUACCCUUAGGACGGGGACAACCCCGGGAAACUGGGACUAAUACCCGAUAGGUGAGGAGGCCUGGAAUGGUUCUUAGUCGAAAAGGCGUUGAAACCAUGCUUUUCGACGUCGCCUAAGGAUGGGGCCGCGUCCGAUCAGGUUGUUGGUGGGGUAACGGCUCACCAAGCCUUUAACCGGUACGGGCCGUGAGAGCGGGAGCCCGGAGAUGGGCACUGAGACAAGGGCCCAGGCCCUACGGGGCGCAGCAGUCGCGAAAACUCCGCAAUGCGCGAAAGCGUGACGGGGCUACCCCGAGUGCCGUCCGCUGAGGAUGGCUUUUCCCCGGUGUAAUGAGCCGGGGGAAUAAGGAGAGGGCAAGACUGGUGUCAGCCGCCGCGGUAAUACCAGCUCUCCGAGUGGUAGGGAUGAUUAUUGGGCUUAAAGCGUCCGUAGCCGGCUUAGCAAGUCUCCUGUUAAAUUCAGCGACCUAAUCGUUGAGCCGCGGGAGAUACUACUAGACUAGGAGGCGGGAGAGGUCGACGGUACUUCUGGGGUAGGGGUGAAAUCCUAUAAUCCCGGGAGGACCACCAGUGGCGAAGGCUGUUGACUAGAACGCGCUCGACGGUGAGGGACGAAAGCUGGGGGAGCGAACCGGAUUAGAUACCCGGGUAGUCCCAGCCGUAAACGAUGCGGGCUAGGUGUUGGGGUGGCUACGUGCCACUUCAGUGCCGCAGGGAAGCCAUUAAGCCCGCCGCCUGGGGAGUACGGCCGCAAGGCUGAAACUUAAAGGAAUUGGCGGGGGAGCACCACAAGGCGUGAAGCUUGCGGUUC
Molecule: ribosomal RNA, 906 nt
Filed under: uncultured crenarchaeote
Lineage: Archaea; Thermoproteati; Thermoproteota
Description: bacterial SSU rRNA
Rfam family: Archaeal small subunit ribosomal RNA
Source: RNAcentral